Felis catus (domestic cat) is the source of this 85-nucleotide transfer RNA. It matches the Rfam family "tRNA". From Rfam's summary of the family: Transfer RNA (tRNA) molecules are approximately 80 nucleotides in length. Their secondary structure includes four short double-helical elements and three loops (D, anti-codon, and T loops). The record is from Rfam. NCBI's taxonomy places the organism in Eukaryota, Metazoa, Chordata, Mammalia, Carnivora, Felidae.
GCCUGGGUGGCUCAGUUGGUUAAGCGUCCGACUUCGACUCAGGUCACAAUCUCGCAGUUCGUGGGUUCGAGCCCCACAUCGGGCU